RNAcentral lists this ribosomal RNA (253 nucleotides) under uncultured bacterium. Its description in RNAcentral is "partial 16S ribosomal RNA". It matches the Rfam family "Bacterial small subunit ribosomal RNA", at positions 524 to 776 of the family's 1533-position model. The record is from RNAcentral.
UACGUAGGGGGCAAGCGUUGUCCGGAUUUAUUGGGCGUAAAGAGCGUGUAGGCGGCCCGGUAAGUCCGCCGUGAAAGUCCAGGGCUCAACCCUGGGAUGCCGGUGGAAACUGUCGGGCUAGAGUCCGGAAGAGGCGAGUGGAACUCCUGGUGUAGCGGUGGAAUGCGCAGAUAUCAGGAAGAACACCGACGGCGAAGGCAGCUCGCUGGGACGGUACUGACGCUGAGGCGCGAAAGCGUGGGGAGCGAACAGG